GUGCUCACUUUGGUAGCACAUAUACUAAAAUUGGAAUGAUACAGGGGAGAUUAGCACGGCCCCGAGCUAGGAUGACACAUAAAUUAGUGAACAAAGCUGGUUAGGA
Molecule: small nuclear RNA, 106 nt
Organism: Ailuropoda melanoleuca (giant panda)
Lineage: Eukaryota; Metazoa; Chordata; Mammalia; Carnivora; Ursidae
Source: Ensembl